AAGCGUUGUCCCUGUUGGUCCACUUGUUCAAGGCAUUGUUGAUGAUGAAAAGGAGCACUCUGAGAUCAUACAAUGGCUUGAGAACAAGGGUGAGUACUCCACUUUGUUUGUUUCAUUUGGGAGUGAGUAUUUUAUGUCCAAGGAAGAGAUUGAAGAGAUAGCUCAUGGGUUAGCGUUUAGCAAGGUUAAUUUCAUAUGGGUUGUUAGGUUUCCUG
This 215-nucleotide unclassified non-coding RNA is filed under the name Hevea brasiliensis (rubber tree). The record is from RNAcentral. Lineage: Eukaryota; Viridiplantae; Streptophyta; Magnoliopsida; Malpighiales; Euphorbiaceae.